RNAcentral lists this ribosomal RNA (322 nucleotides) under Mongoliibacter sp. RNAcentral describes it as "bacterial SSU rRNA". It matches the Rfam family "Bacterial small subunit ribosomal RNA", at positions 1 to 321 of the family's 1533-position model. The record is from RNAcentral. Lineage: Bacteria; Pseudomonadati; Bacteroidota; Cytophagia; Cytophagales; Cyclobacteriaceae.
UACAACGGAGAGUUUGAUCCUGGCUCAGGAUGAACGCUAGCGGCAGGCUUAAUACAUGCAAGUCGUACGGUAGAGAUUCUUUCGGGGAUCUUGAGAGUGGCGCACGGGUGCGUAACGCGUAUGCAACCUACCUGUUACAGGGGGAUAGCCCGGGGAAACCCGGAUUAAUACCCCAUGGUAUAUAGAUACCGCAUGGUAUUUAUAUUAAAGAUUUAUCGGUAACAGAUGGGCAUGCGUAGGAUUAGCUGGUUGGUAAGGUAACGGCUUACCAAGGCUACGAUCCUUAGGGGUUCUGAGAGGAAGGUCCCCCACACUGGCACUG